Molecule: ribosomal RNA, 408 nt
Filed under: uncultured bacterium
Lineage: Bacteria
Description: partial 16S ribosomal RNA
Rfam family: Bacterial small subunit ribosomal RNA
Source: RNAcentral
GACGAACGCUGGCGGCGUGCUUAACACAUGCAAGUCGAACGAAGUGGCGAACGGGUGAGUAACGCGUAAUCCACCUGCCCUUCAGAGGGGGACAACAGUUGGAAACGACUGCUAAUACCGCAUACUGAAGGAGGGGAUUGCGUCUGUAGAGCGAGUGUGCGGGGGAACGGCCCACCAAGGCGAUGCUCAGGAGCGUGUUGGUGAGGCUUAACGGCCACAUUGGGACUGGGAACCGGCUCAGACUUCUACGGGAGGCAGCAGUGGGGAAUCUUCCGAAAUGGGCGAAAGUCUGACGGCGCAACGCCGCGUGAGUGAUGACGGCCUUCGGGUUGUAAAGCUCUGUUAAUCGGGACGCGGUACCGGAAUAGAAAGCCACGGCUAACUACGUGCCAGCAGCCGCGGUAAUAC